This 465-nucleotide ribosomal RNA is filed under the name Vreelandella stevensii. Its description in RNAcentral is "partial 16S ribosomal RNA". It matches the Rfam family "Bacterial small subunit ribosomal RNA", at positions 338 to 795 of the family's 1533-position model. The record is from RNAcentral. Lineage: Bacteria; Pseudomonadati; Pseudomonadota; Gammaproteobacteria; Oceanospirillales; Halomonadaceae.
CCUACGGGGGGCAGCAGUGGGGAAUAUUGGACAAUGGGGGGAACCCUGAUCCAGCUAUGCCGCGUGUGUGAAGAAGGCCCUCGGGUUGUAAAGCACUUUCAGUGAGGAAGAACGCCUGGUGGUUAAUACCCAUCAGGAAAGACAUCACUCACAGAAGAAGCACCGGCUAACUCCGUGCCAGCAGCCGCGGUAAUACGGAGGGUGCGAGCGUUAAUCGGAAUUACUGGGCGUAAAGCGCGCGUAGGUGGCUUGAUAAGCCGGUUGUGAAAGCCCCGGGCUCAACCUGGGAACGGCAUCCGGAACUGUCAAGCUAGAGUGCAGGAGAGGAAGGUAGAAUUCCCGGUGUAGCGGUGAAAUGCGUAGAGAUCGGGAGGAAUACCAGUGGCGAAGGCGGCCUUCUGGACUGACACUGACACUGAGGUGCGAAAGCGUGGGUAGCAAACAGGAUUAGAUACCCCUGUAGUC